UUUUUUUUUCGUUUGAUAUGUCAUGAUGACUUUUGUUCUUGUAGUUCCAGGAAUGGCCAGGAGUAGAGGAAUCACAUGUGGCAGACCAGGCCUUUAUACCCGCUCACGGCUCACACCGGUAUGCGAUGUUUGAUACCCAUCAUGACCAGUGAUAACUUCUGUUGACAUGUGCUCAGCUGCUAAAUUACGGAGCUUGUGAACGUCUCUUUCCAUUUCGAAAUAAGAUGAUAGGAAAUUGAUGUUUACCGUCAUAAUCGUACCAAGCUGUUGGAACCCCGACUGCUUAAAGGUUAAAAUUGGGCCUGAAUUUAAGAUCCUCCUUUCAUUCCGUGCACUGAUGGUGUGUUCCUUUUGUUUCAGCAAUGCGGACGAAUUCGAACAUCAAAAGGUUAAAUUUGAGCAAUACAGACUUUCCUGUACUGGACUAAACAAGAUGGUGGCAAGUGGCAAGUGGCAACCAGUGAUCUAAGUAUUCAGUGUGGCAAAGUUGGUGUAGUGUUUCUGAGUAGCAACGCAGAUCUGUCAUAUUGCUCCAUGUGGACCAAUGGACCAUGUAUGUUAAGUUUGCUAGUAGACAUUUGGCUUAUACUCCCUCCGUUUCUAAAUAUAAGUCUUUUUAGAGAUUUCAUUAUGGACUACAUUCGGAGCAAAAUGAGUGAAUCUCCACUCUAAAAUAUGUCUAGAUACAUCCGUAUAUAGUUUGUAGAGAAAUCUGUAGAAAGACUUAUAUUUAGGAACGGAGGGAGUACGGAUUAUUAUAAAAAUAUCAACCUUUUUUCAAACUUGAGUUUCCUAUGUAUGUUGGCACAUUUUCACUCAUGGUAUGCUGUGCAUCAUGAAAUGGUUCUCAACAAUUUGAACAAUUGUAAAACACACAUAUGUGAAGAGAGAAGACAAUAGUUAUACAAGAUUGGGUUCAGUUUCUUAAAUACAAGAGAUCGAGCUUCCAUUUCUCCAUGAUCCUAUCAGCUCCUACACCAAGCCCACGCAGAUCGACACCACAAGCCCUCAAUCCUCCGCUGCCCAUCUGCCAAAGCAAACAAGAACGCAAGAUACAUUAAUCUUCCACCAUUGAUUGAUUGAGC
RNAcentral lists this long non-coding RNA (1085 nucleotides) under Triticum aestivum (bread wheat). Its description in RNAcentral is "long non-coding RNA (TAES_LNC009226)". The record is from RNAcentral. Lineage: Eukaryota; Viridiplantae; Streptophyta; Magnoliopsida; Poales; Poaceae.